Molecule: non-coding RNA, 73 nt
Organism: Podarcis lilfordi (Lilford's wall lizard)
Lineage: Eukaryota; Metazoa; Chordata; Lepidosauria; Squamata; Lacertidae
Source: the annotation of a GenBank genome assembly
GCCCUUAGCUCUGUGGUAGAGCACCUGCUUUGCAUGCAGAAGGCCCCAGGUUCAAUCCAUAAUGGCAUCUCCA